Tympanuchus pallidicinctus (lesser prairie-chicken) is the source of this 2421-nucleotide long non-coding RNA. RefSeq lists it as uncharacterized. The transcript has 2 exons. The record is from RefSeq and is a predicted model, not a curated record. NCBI's taxonomy places the organism in Eukaryota, Metazoa, Chordata, Aves, Galliformes, Phasianidae.
GCCGCCUCAUAAUAAUUGAUAUUCAUGACUAUUAAUAUUACACGACUACUUUAAAGGGAGAAUGCAGGACCAAAUGGAGCGUGAAGCUGGCAGCCAGCUCGAGAGCUCCCCUACUAUUGUAAAUGACGUUCAUUCAGUGGAGAAUUACUCGAUGUAAUCAGACGAGGGGGGCUGGCAGGGGCAGAGUUUGGGGAGAGGGAGAGGGGGGAAAAAGUUUAGCAGGGAAGAGGCAGAACUUCAAUUAACUCGAGCGGGGGAAGACGUGGAAAGCAGACACUGAGCAGGGAAGGGAGAUGGAGCAGUGCUGGAGGCGAAGAAGAAGAAAAAAACCGGAGAUUAAGCCCUUCUGGUGCGUGUUCCCGACCGUGCUCAUUCGGAACAGCCCAAUAAACGCUGCAGCGGGGUGAAGUUGGGCUCCCUUCAAUUCCGAAUCCUCCUCCAGCCCGAUACGCAGAAAGAACCCAACCCGCCGUAUAGAUAUGCACAUAUCUAUCCCGAUUUUCACCCGAAUGUAAAAUGUAUGCAGUGAUUUUUAAAGGAUAGUAAAUUUCUAGUUUCGAGGCAAAGCCGGGGGCGAUGUAAAACCUUUUUGAUGUUGCAGGAACUCGUUCAACUGGACUGUCUGCCAUUUCUGUUAAAGUUCAACUUACGUUCCUUCCUAAAUAGACUCACACUUCCCAGAGCAGCCCCCCCAAUCCCCAUUACACGCACACACACACUUUUGUUUUAAGAACAGAUUCCAUUUAAGCGCCUGAGACGCCCCUGUAAUCGCGUUCUCAAUUAGAAAUCGGAAAGAAAAAGGAGAAGGAGGAGAAACACUUUUUUUUUCUUCUUCUUUUUUUUUUUUUUUUUUUUCUUUUACGAAUCCUUCCUCCUCUUUCAAACCGACCCACAAAAAUAUUCUUUUGAAAGCUGCCCGCUACGGAAUGACCCGGAGCUCAUCGGCGGGUUAGGAUCUCUCUGCCCCAUCCCACCGCUCUCACGGCCGUGGAGGGACGCACGACGCUUCCAUCUCCCCUUCCAAAAACCAGAGAGGGGAGAAAAAACCCCGACAUUCCCCCACCUCGCAGGACGAGAAAAGAGACGUUUUGUCGCCCGCUGCUGAGGCACAGACAAUGGCCGGGCUGUGCUGGGGACGGGGAAGGCUCGGCGGGUCUGGGGGCUGCAGGGAGACCUGGACACCCACCGAGCUGCGAUGCCGGUUGAUAACGAGCCUGAACGCAGCUCGGAAAGCCGGAGAUACUGCGGCUCUUUCCCAUCCUCACUCCGGCUGUGAAAAGUCGGAGCAGUGCCCUCCCUCUCCGCGUUUUUCUUUCUUUCUUUCUUUCUUUCUUUUUCUUUUUCUUUUUUUUUUUUUCCCCUUCUCUUUUCUUUUUAUCUCUGUCUGCUUUCCCGACGGAAGUCCGAAGAGAUGCGGGACCGCUUUGGGGCUGUUGCUGCUGUGCGGCCCCGACGGCGCUUCCCCGGGCCGGACGGUAUAGCCCAAAGCCUUUCCAACACCCCCAACCAACAGCUGUGAGAAUCCUUCCCCAAUCCUACGAACACCAGCAUCACCAAAUCCAAAUUAAAAAUAAAAAUAAUAAUAAUAAUAAAAAAAAACAAAAAAACGAACAACAAAAAUUCAUUGACGAAGCGGCAAACCUUUCCUUCCAUCUUAUUAUUAUUAUUAUUAUUAUUAUUAUUAUUAUUAUUAUUAUUUGUUCCAAUUUCGGAUCCGAUCCAGCGCGCUGCUUUACUUACAAGGAACGCAUUCGCGGAGUCGCUUUGGGAAAGAUCCGGGCAAAAUUAAGAACCGUUUGGCUCUGCUGUGAUCCUCCUCCCCCCCAACACACACACCGUCCCCUCCCGCCUCGCUCUGCUUUUGGACCUCAAAAAAAAAUCCCGAGGAGGUCUCUGAAAUCAAGCCCAGAACUUUCCGUGCUCGCUUUGGAUGGAUCGGUUCGGCUGCGUGUACCCAAAGACGUGAGAGAAUGUGUGUGUGCUUCGUCAUUAGCGCUGGUGGAUGAGGACGCGCACAUCUUAUCUACCGGUGUAUGCGUGUAAAAAGAGUCGUAAAAAACGCCAUCCGGUCGUGAAAACGAGAAAAAGACAAUCUAUCUAUAUACCCAAAUUCAGGUAGAGCUUAGAUUGGGAUCGGAAAUUAAGAAACUAGCACAAAAAGAAAAGAAAGAAAUGCAUCCCGUCCCCGAAUACCAGAUCGCGUUUCUCUUCUAAUUUCAUCUUUUCCCCUCUUUCUCGACAUUUGCCCGCAUUUAAUCGAAUUACAUUUAAUUCGGGCUCUAAACAACCCAACUCUUGCCUUUAAGUUGCCUCAUUCCAACCCUCAGAUCGUUUCUUUGAUGUUUUAAAUCGCAUCAAACAGCUUUUCCACGAAAGAAAAAAAAAAAAAAAAAAAAAGAAAAGGAAAAAAAAAAAAAGAAA